UCCACUCACUGUGGGCUCCACUCACUGUGGGCUCCACUCACUGUGGGCUCCACUCACUGUGGGGUUUGAACCACCGCAGAGAGACGAGUAUUUUCUGACGUUUUAAACAAACGGCUUUAGAUUAAAGUCUCAGACCCCAGCCUGACCUUGAAGUUGGUGGGAUCUAUCCGCAGCUGGUAGGCGUGCAGCGUCUGCAGCGGCGCCAGCGUGACGGUCAGCUGGCUGAUGUCCUGGGCGCCCUCGGCGAUGGCGAGGACGAUCUUCUUGCCGUGGGAGCAGAGGUGGGCGGAGCCAGGGCUGAUGUCCAGGUGGGAGAAAUACGUCUUGGUGCCGGGAUACGAAGCAAACAUCCUGCAGGACAGAAGAACGGGUCGAUGUCCAGGUCCAGACGGCGAGCCAAAGAUGGAUGGAAAUCAUUUAAAUCAUUUGAUAUAAUGUUCAUGUUUCAGUCAUGUUUUCACCACCUCAUCUGUAACUUUAUGAACGUAACAGUUCGAAUUAAAUAUUUCAACCACAAAUUAAUCAUUUAAUCUGCAAACUAAAUAUUUAGCUGCAAAUUAAUACAUUCAGAUUAUAAACUAAAGAUUUUCUAUAAAUGUGACAAAAACCAUCCCAGACUUGAACUAGGACAGCGGCUCAACGCUCCAUCACGUUGAGUCGGUGACGUUUGUCCUACCUGAGCAGAGCAUCAGAUCCGAUGUCUUCAGCC
Molecule: long non-coding RNA, 709 nt
Organism: Poeciliopsis prolifica (blackstripe livebearer)
Lineage: Eukaryota; Metazoa; Chordata; Actinopteri; Cyprinodontiformes; Poeciliidae
Exons: 3
Source: RefSeq, a predicted model, not a curated record